Molecule: ribosomal RNA, 290 nt
Filed under: uncultured Rhizobium sp.
Lineage: Bacteria; Pseudomonadati; Pseudomonadota; Alphaproteobacteria; Hyphomicrobiales; Rhizobiaceae
Description: partial 16S ribosomal RNA
Rfam family: Bacterial small subunit ribosomal RNA
Source: RNAcentral
AACGAACGCUGGCGGCAGGCUUAACACAUGCAAGUCGAGCGCCCCGCAAGGGGAGCGGCAGACGGGUGAGUAACGCGUGGGAAUCUACCUUUUGCUACGGAAUAACGCAGGGAAACUUGUGCUAAUACCGUAUGUGUCCUUCGGGAGAAAGAUUUAUCGGCAAGAGAUGAGCCCGCGUUGGAUUAGCUAGUUGGUGGGGUAAAGGCCUACCAAGGCGACGAUCCAUAGCUGGUCUGAGAGGAUGAUCAGCCACAUUGGGACUGAGACACGGCCCAAACUCCUACGGGAGG